UCUUUUUACUUUUGCUAAUGGAAUUCCUCUCUCGUCCUCUGACCGCCGCGCCAACGGGUGUGAAUUCAAGCUGUCCAAGGACAGAGAACAGCGUGAAAAAGAGCAGCACAAGUGACCUCCAUAAUUUUAACCAUGAGGUAUGUACCCGCUGAACAAUCAGAGGAGUUGCUUCAUUCCUAUGGACCCCGAAUCAGAAUCCAGCAUAUAUACAUUUUAUACUAAUACAUUUCAUUACAGUACUAAUUAAAUGUUACCUGUUAACCUUGUGGAAGCAGGGAAAGAAAGAGGGGGUUUAAAUGCAGCCAUUUAAGUGUCAGAGACAGAACAACUGUUCUGUCAAGUCUUAGCCUAAUAUUGCGAGACCUGUAAAAGCCGGGCUCACGUCAGAAGCGAGUGGAAAACAGCAGAAUAGUCAGUGUGACCCAGCCUUGAGAUAACGCUGUUUUUGAGAAGAGAAAGUGAGAAAAUACUGGAAUAGAUAGCAAAGAGUCUAAAUAAAAUAGAGAUGUUUUUAAUUAAUGCACAUCACAAAGAGGUAUAAAUGCUUGUGUGAUUUUGCUUGUACUUUGGAGAAACUGAGGCAGAGAUGCUCUCUGCCAGCUGUGUUCUUCCCCUGCAAUUGCUUGAAUAAAGCUGUCUCUGAUUUUGUUGCUUCCGACCUGAGAGUGGAGUUUUGUUUCUUCCACAACCUGAAACCAUGGGCGGAGACAUUAUGUAACCUUUGACUGUUGGCUACUGUGCUUGUCUUGUCUUGCUUCUAGACCUAUCCAGAGGUUUGGGAUUACCUACCCCGUCAUUUCCCUCUGCCCAUGGAAAAUCCAUAUAAUCCAUGGUAAUCAACUGAUUGACAGUGACUCUGAGCCUAAUAAGCCAGGCGACACUCCGCCAGCGCUGUGUGUAAUAAACUCCUGUGCUUGACUUCUA
Molecule: long non-coding RNA, 924 nt
Organism: Malaclemys terrapin pileata
Lineage: Eukaryota; Metazoa; Chordata; Testudines; Emydidae
Exons: 2
Source: RefSeq, a predicted model, not a curated record